CCCCCUAAGGGUGGGCUAUUGUGCCAAGCGGCACUUGAUUCAGCCUUGCAAUGUCUGCAUGGACAGCAGCGCAUGACAUCUAUUGCUGGACGUUGGGGCCGGUGCUGGGCGUACAUCGAUGGAGCAUUUGGAUGCAUGGCGCGUGAGUUGUGUUCGGUAUGUACGGUUAGGUUGGAUCCCUGCUCGAGCAGCAAUGUCCUGACCCGUCUGCCAUCUCAGUCGUUGGGUAAGCACAAUUUAGGUUUGCUCGAAGUCGGUUUCCUGUGCUGCAUACCUAAUGCCUAGGCAUUAUCAAGUCAUAUCGAUCGCAUUUUGCCCCUCGCAUUUCGUGCGUAGGGUGAAUCGAAAGGUCGUCAUCGUGUCCCACGUCUUUCUCGCUUCGUUGUGCGGUCAUGGUCCAUGAGCGGUGGUCAGGAUUCUCGGAUGCGGUAGACGUAGUGUGGAUGAGGUCUUAAUUGACUCCUAUCUGCCCUAUACGAUGCUCCUUGCAAACGAAGGUCGCGCUUUCCUUGAAUCUGUAUUCGCCCUCAAGGGAAGGCCGGGCUCAUGUGACACCGGCGUCGUUGCGGAAUGCUACCUGGUGGAUCCUUCCAGUAGUCAUAUGCUUGUCUCAAAGAUUAAGCCAUGCAUGUGUAAGUGUGAACAAAUUCAGACUGUUAAAUUAUGAAUGGCUCAUUAAAUCAGUUAUAGUUUGUUUGAUGGUAUUUACUACUCGGAUAACCGCGUGCCGGUCGAGGAACGGACUGCGAAUAGAUCCUUUGGGGACCUUCCCCACUCGUCGAACAACCAACUUAGACCUUGUACGGACAAGGGGAAUCCGACUGUUUAAUUAAAACAAAAUAUUGCGAUGGUCCCAAUGGAUGUUCACACAUUGUGAUUUCUGCCCAGUGCUCUGGAUGUCAAAGCGAUGAAAUUCAACCAAGCAUGGGUAAAUGGCGGGAGUAACUAUGACUCUCUUAAGGUAGCCAAAUGCCUCGUCAUCUACAUAGUGAUGUGCAUGAAUGGAUUAACGUGAUUCCCACUAUCCCUGUCUACUAUCCAGCGAAACCACAGCCCAGGGAACGGGCUUGGAAGAAUUAAUGGGGAAAGAAGACCCUCUUGAGCUUGACUCUACUUCGACUUUGUGAAAUGACUUUAGGGGUGUAGUAUAAGUGGGAGACAAAAGCCGAAAGUGAAAUACCACUGCUUUUCACAUUAUUUUACUUAUUCCGUGAAUCGGAAGCGGGGUGAUGCCCCUUUUUUGAGACCCAAGGCUCGCUCUUUGGGCCGAUCCAGGUGGAAGACAUUGUCAGGUGGGGAGUUUGGCUGGGGCGGCACAUCUUUUAAAAGAUAACGAAGCUGUGAUAAGAUGAGAUCAAAGAGAACAGAAAUAUUGUAUGGAACAGAAGGGUAAAAGCUCGUUUGAUUCUGAUUUCUAGUACGAAUACGAACCAUGAAAGCGUCGCCUAAUGAUCCUUUAGACCUUCGAAAUUUGAAGCUAGAGGUGUCAAAAAAGUGUUACCACAGGGAUAACUGGUCUGUUUCAGCCAAGCGUUCAUAGCGACGUUGCUUGUUCAUCCUUUGAUGUCGGCUCGUCCUAUCAUUGUGAAGCAAAAUUCACCAAGUGUUGGAAUGUUCACCAACCAAUAGAGAACAUGAGCUGGGUUUAGACCGUCGUGAGACAGGUUAGUUUUACCCUACUUGUGACAGUGUCGCAGUAGUAAUUCAACCUAGUGCGAGAGAAAAUAUUGAUUCACCUAAUUUGUAAUCGCGCUUGGUUGAAAAGCCAGUGGUGCAAAGCUACCAUGUGCGAGAUUAUGACUGAACGCCUCUAAGUCAGAAUCCGAGCUAGAAGCGACGCAUGCGUCCGCUGUUCGCUUGCCGACCUGCAGUAGGGGCCUUGGCCCCCAAGGGCACAAGUCAUUUGCUAAGCCACCACGGCGGAAGAAUCACGGUGGCCGCCUUGAUGUUUAAUUUCCAUCGAGCGGCGGGUAGAAUCCUUUGCAGAAGACUUAAAUAUGCGAC
RNAcentral lists this ribosomal RNA (2004 nucleotides) under Capsicum annuum. RNAcentral's name for it is "eukaryotic LSU rRNA". The stretch from base 629 to 2004 matches the Rfam family "Eukaryotic large subunit ribosomal RNA", at positions 1890 to 3328 of the family's 3401-position model. Lineage: Eukaryota; Viridiplantae; Streptophyta; Magnoliopsida; Solanales; Solanaceae. The record is from RNAcentral.